This 425-nucleotide ribosomal RNA is filed under the name uncultured bacterium. RNAcentral's name for it is "partial 16S ribosomal RNA". It matches the Rfam family "Bacterial small subunit ribosomal RNA", at positions 354 to 796 of the family's 1533-position model. The record is from RNAcentral.
GUUAGGAAUAUUGGACAAUGGGCGCAAGCCUGAUCCAGCCAUGCCGCGUGAGUGAUGAAGGCCUUCGGGUUGUAAAGCUCUUUAGCCGAUGAUUAUAAUGACUGUAGUCGGAAAAUAAGCCCCGGCUAACUUCGUGCCAGCAGCCGCGGUAAUACGAAGGGGGCGAGCGUUAUUCGGAAUCACUGGGCGUAAAGCGUGCGUAGGCGGCUUUGCAAGUUGGGAGUGAAAGCCCAGGGCUCAACCCUGGAAUUGCUCUCAAAACUGCAAGACUCGAAUUCGGAAGAGGAUAGCGGAAUUGUCAGUGUAGCAGUGAAAUGCGUAGAUAUUGACAGGAACACCAGUGGCGUAAGCGGCUAUCUGGACCGAUAUUGACGCUGAGGCACGAAAGCGUGGGGAUCAAACAGGAUUAGAAACCCGGGUAGUCC